UACGGGGGGGGCAAGCGUUGUUCGGAAUUACUGGGCGUAAAGGGCUUGUAGGUGGCCAACUAAGUCAGACGUGAAAUCCCUCGGCUUAACCGGGGAACUGCGUCUGAUACUGGAUGGCUUGAGUGUGGGAGAGGGAUGCGGAAUUCCAGGUGUAGCGGUGAAAUGCGUAGAUAUCAGGAGGAACACCGGUGGCGAAGGCGGCAUCCUGGACCAAUACUGACGCUGAGGAGCGAAAGCCAGGGGAGCAAACGGG
RNAcentral lists this ribosomal RNA (253 nucleotides) under uncultured bacterium. RNAcentral describes it as "partial 16S ribosomal RNA". It matches the Rfam family "Bacterial small subunit ribosomal RNA", at positions 524 to 776 of the family's 1533-position model. The record is from RNAcentral.